GUCCUUUUGAUUAUAAUUUAAGGUCUGACCUGCCCACUGAAAUUAUUUUAAAUGGCCGCAGUAAUUUGACUGUGCAAAGGUAGCAUAAUCAUUAGUUUUUUAAUUAAAAGCUUGUAUGAAGGGUUGGACGAGAUAAAAUCUGUCUCUAUUUAAUUUAAUAUAAAAUUUAAUUUUUAAGUUAAAAAGCUUAAAUUUUUUUAAAAGACGAGAAGACCCUAUAGAUCUUUAUAGUUUUGAUUUUGAAUUUAAUUAAUAAAUUUUUAUGAUUUAUAAUUUAAACUAUUUUAUUGGGGUAAUAGAAAGAUUAAAAUAAUUCUUUUUUUCUUUAAACAUUUAUUUAUGUUUUUAAUGAUCCAAUUUUAUUGAUUAUAAGAUUAAGUUACCUUAGGGAUAACAGCGUAAUUUUUUUAGAGAGUUCUUAUCGAUAAAAAAGUUUGCGACCUCGAUGUUGGAUUAAAGAUUAGUUUAGGUGUAGAAGUUUAAAUUUUUGGUCUGUUCGACCAUUAAAUCUUUACAUGAUCUGAGUUCAGACCGGCGUAAGCCAGGUCGGUUUCUAUCUUUAAUAAUUUUAAAAUAUUUUAGUACGAAAGGACCAAAUAUUUAAUAUAUUUAUAUUUAAUUUUUUGAAUAUUAUUAAAAAUUAUUUUGGCAGAAUAGUGCAAUGAAUUUAGAAUUCAUAAAUGUAAUUUUAUUACAAAUAAUACUUGUUUUUUUUAGAUGUAAUUUUUUCUUUAGUAUGUAUAUUUUUAUUAAUUAUUUGUUUUU
RNAcentral lists this ribosomal RNA (765 nucleotides) under Lissopterus quadrinotatus. Its description in RNAcentral is "partial 16S ribosomal RNA". The stretch from base 1 to 585 matches the Rfam family "Bacterial large subunit ribosomal RNA", at positions 1825 to 2925 of the family's 2925-position model. The record is from RNAcentral. Lineage: Eukaryota; Metazoa; Arthropoda; Insecta; Coleoptera; Carabidae.